CUCCGGGUCUAAUUACACUGGCCCCGGAAAUGAUCAAAUCAAACACAGUUCCACCAACCCGUCGUCUAGGCUAAUUGCUAAUUACAAAACGUUAACCCAUGCAGCUCUAUACUGGCAUUGCUGAUUAUCUGUUGUCUGAUUAGUUCCAACUAAUUUACUUUCUUUCUUUCUUUAGGUGUAAUGGAGGCUCUAUCCUCUUAGCACUUUGUCACCGGUUGAGAGGGUCCUACAGCGUUCCAUUAGCGGAUUACAGAGUCACUAGCGUUGGCUGACAGCAUUCGGGGAAGGUGACAUGCAGCUGUGUAACAAUCAUCCGUCACGCCCCGACGGACUGAGUGACGUCCGUCUACACGCACACAGGGAGGAAAAGACCACAGCAAUGGUUAUGGAACAGAAGAAACUCGAUUUGGCGAGCCUCCCACUGUCUCCUCUCGUGAUGCUUCAAAGAAUAACGCAAUAGAGAAAGAAAGGUUGGGGGAAGUCAUGCUUACUGGGAUAAUAUGCUUUCGUCCUCACUCCUUGGACAGUAUUCAAUGGGGUAUGAUAAAUCCCUCGUCUAAAUUGGAAAGCCCACACAGAUUUAUCAGUGCAUGGAAUCUGUUUUUACCGCCCCAAGAGAUAUGCAAAGACAACAUGGCAUGCAAUGGCGUGCAUGCAAGUGGGAUAUAAAAUAAGAGUAUUGAUUAAGCUUGUUGAACCCUGCACCCAUCUAAUUGUUGAAGCAUUGUCAUCAAAUAAACCAAAACAUACUU
Molecule: long non-coding RNA, 752 nt
Organism: Rhinichthys klamathensis goyatoka
Lineage: Eukaryota; Metazoa; Chordata; Actinopteri; Cypriniformes; Leuciscidae
Exons: 2
Source: RefSeq, a predicted model, not a curated record